AGUCUUGCGAGGACUUCUUGGGCACUAGUUGUACCAAUAACUAACCCCAAGGAAUUGGACUCAGAAGAGCAAUACAAAUUGCAGCCUUGCCACUUACGAGCUGAGAGAUCUUAGCCAAAAUAACUCAAUCUGUCUGAGUUGUAUUUUUUAUCAGUCGACUGAAGAUGAAUAAUAUUCAGGCUACAAGUUUAUCAAAGAGUUAAUAGAGAUGGAGUCCAUGUUGCCUCGCCUGGUCUUGGACUAUUGGCCUCAAGCGAUCAUCCUACCUCAGCCUCUCAAAGUGCUAGCAUUCAAGGUCAGGAGAUCGAGACCAUCCCGGCUAAAACGGUGAAACCCCGUCUCUACUAAAAAUACAAAAAAUUAGCCGGGCGUAGUGGCGGGCGCCUGUAGUCCCAGCUACUUGGGAGGCUGAGGCAGGAGAAUGGCGUGAACCCGGGAGGCGGAGCUUGCAGUGAGCCGAGAUCCCGCCACUGCACUCUAGCCUGGGCGACAGAGCGAGACUCUGUCUCAAAAAAAAAAAAAAAAAGUUGGCCUAAACAGGGACACACAGUGUGGUCCAGAGACCUGGUGACAGUGUGUGAAUUGUUACCAGUUCACAGAGCAGUAAGUAUUACAAAACUUGGGAGUAGGUCAUUAGAAAUUUUAUAGGGAUUUCAGCAAUGU
RNAcentral lists this long non-coding RNA (663 nucleotides) under Homo sapiens (human). Its description in RNAcentral is "HSALNT0327036". The record is from RNAcentral. Lineage: Eukaryota; Metazoa; Chordata; Mammalia; Primates; Hominidae.